This 1476-nucleotide long non-coding RNA is filed under the name Capra hircus (goat). RNAcentral describes it as "lncRNA (ENSCHIG00010010732.1)". Lineage: Eukaryota; Metazoa; Chordata; Mammalia; Artiodactyla; Bovidae. The record is from RNAcentral.
AGCACGCACGCACAGAUUGCAGCAUGCCAGGCUUCCCUGUCCUUCACUGGCAACAUAUUGGACCAGUAUAGAUCUAGAACAAAAAACUCACAGGCAAGGGGUUUCUGUUGCCUUAACAGUGGGGAGAGGCCCCUGUGAAGUGCAAGGUAGAGCACCCCUUUUUAGAAAGGCAAUUUUGUGGCUGCAAAUGGGCCCCCCCAGGAGGAUUCCUGGGGGAGGCGGAGUGACAGCAGUGGUCCUCCCCUCAGUAAGCCCACCGCAGGUCCCCAGACCUGGAUAGGACCUGGGGCUGGGGUGGACACUGAGCUCCCUGUCUGGCCACCACCCCACCCCCGGCCCUUGGAGCAGCCUGGGGUGGAGAGAAGAACCUGCCAGCUGGACUUGGAAACUCUUCAGUCCUGGUGCUUCUGCUUCCUGGCUGUGAGCUCAAAGGCAAAGGGAUGGUCUUGAUCAACGCCAUUUCAGCAGGGGUGGAAAGAUUUCUUACACAAUGUGUCCGAAGCUGUGAGCAUGGGGUGUGGGAAAGAGAAUGUGAGGCAGGAGGACAGGGGAGUCCCUUCCAAGGCUACCCCACCCUGAGGGGCUUUUGCUGGGCAUGUUCGCAGAGUCUGCAGGGCCCACCCUAACUCCUGGGGGAGGCCAACUUCUGCUGCAGGAAGAUGGCCAGGAUGGAGGCCCAGAAAAGGUGUGAUUCCCCAGGAGUCACCCAGCAAACCCAGAAACAGCUGCUGGGAGUUCCCUGCUUUGGGGCCAGGACACCUGGGUCUCGCUUUUCAGCUGCUUUCAGCACUAGGAUUUGUUGAAAGGAAUGAACAGAAUGUUUCAGGGCAACUUGAACGCUGGCAGGGAGGCAGCCUUCCCGGGUCUGCUGAUGCUGGGAGCCGGGGAAGGGGGCCUGGCAGCCUGGAGCUCUUACCAGAGCCUGUGCCCAAGUGGCCCCAGCCCCUAUUACCCACCGAUUCCCGAAGUCCUGGCUGCAGAAUGGUCCUGCCAGGGGAGGGAUGUGGGGAGAGGCGCCAGGCUCCCUGGGACCAAGUGCUACAGUGAGCCUUCAGUGACAGCUUUUGAAGACUCUGCAACGAAAAGGGAGAGCUGGGAUUUCAGGAGAUCUGAAUCCUAGGAGGUCCAACAAACGAGCUUCAGGAGAUGCCUGGACACAUCUCCUGUUCCCAUCACUGAAGGCAAAACUUUGAGUCUGUGCUUUUUUCUAAGUUAAGGGUCUAAGCUUUUGUCAAGGCUUAGAGGCAUCUGUGACUCCUGAAAGAAUAAGAACCACUGCUCUAGACACACACACUCACAAAUACACACAUACACUCACACUUAUACUCACAAAUACACACAUACACUCACAUACACACACAAAUAUGUAUAUGCAUAACCACAUGUACAGGCUUCCCUGGUGGCUCAGAUGGUGAAGAAUCCACCAGCAAUGCAAGAGACCUGGGUUUGAUCCCUGGAUUGGGAAGAUCCCCUGGA